Molecule: ribosomal RNA, 808 nt
Filed under: Brevundimonas sp. AKB-2008-RU6
Lineage: Bacteria; Pseudomonadati; Pseudomonadota; Alphaproteobacteria; Caulobacterales; Caulobacteraceae
Description: bacterial SSU rRNA
Rfam family: Bacterial small subunit ribosomal RNA
Source: RNAcentral
UAGAGUUUGAAUCCUGGCUCAGAGCGAACGCUGGCGGCAGGCCUAACACAUGCAAGUCGAACGAACUCUUCGGAGUUAGUGGCGGACGGGUGAGUAACACGUGGGAACGUGCCUUUAGGUUCGGAAUAACUCAGGGAAACUUGUGCUAAUACCGAAUGUGCCCUUCGGGGGAAAGAUUUAUCGCCUUUAGAGCGGCCCGCGUCUGAUUAGCUAGUUGGUGAGGUAAAGGCUCACCAAGGCGACGAUCAGUAGCUGGUCUGAGAGGAUGAUCAGCCACAUUGGGACUGAGACACGGCCCAAACUCCUACGGGAGGCAGCAGUGGGGAAUCUUGCGCAAUGGGCGAAAGCCUGACGCAGCCAUGCCGCGUGAAUGAUGAAGGUCUUAGGAUUGUAAAAUUCUUUCACCGGGGACGAUAAUGACGGUACCCGGAGAAGAAGCCCCGGCUAACUUCGUGCCAGCAGCCGCGGUAAUACGAAGGGGGCUAGCGUUGCUCGGAAUUACUGGGCGUAAAGGGAGCGUAGGCGGACAUUUAAGUCAGGGGUGAAAUCCCGGGGCUCAACCUCGGAAUUGCCUUUGAUACUGGGUGUCUUGAGUAUGAGAGAGGUGUGUGGAACUCCGAGUGUAGAGGUGAAAUUCGUAGAUAUUCGGAAGAACACCAGUGGCGAAGGCGACACACUGGCUCAUUACUGACGCUGAGGCUCGAAAGCGUGGGGAGCAAACAGGAUUAGAUACCCUGGUAGUCCACGCCGUAAACGAUGAUUGCUAGUUGUCGGGNUGCAUGCAUUUCGGUGACGCAGCUAACGCAUC